Molecule: ribosomal RNA, 432 nt
Filed under: uncultured bacterium
Lineage: Bacteria
Description: partial 16S ribosomal RNA
Rfam family: Bacterial small subunit ribosomal RNA
Source: RNAcentral
ACGAACGCUGGCGGCAUGCCUAACACCUGCCAGUCGAACGAGACCUUCGGGUCUCGUGGCCCACGGGUGCUUACCGCGUGGGAACCUGCCCUUAGUUUCGGAAUAACCCCCCGGAAUGGGUGCUAAUACCGGAACCUGUCCUCGUACCAAAGAUUUAUUGCCUUCGGAUGGGUCCGUGUUGGAUUAGCUAGUUGGUAGGGGAAAAGCCUACCACGGCGACGAUCCAUAGCUUUUCUGAGAGGAAGAUCCGCCACACUGGGAGUGCGACACGGCCCAGACUCCUACGGGAGGCGGCAGUGGGGAAUAUUGGACAAUGGGCGAAAGCCUGAUCCAGCAAUGCCGCGUGAGUGAUGAAGGCCGUAGGGUUGUAAAGCUCUUGUACCCGGGAUGAUAAUGACAGUACCGGGAGAAUAAGCCCCGGCUAACUCCGUG